RNAcentral lists this long non-coding RNA (1786 nucleotides) under Mus musculus (house mouse). Its description in RNAcentral is "long non-coding RNA chr18:4681082-4682868". The record is from RNAcentral. Lineage: Eukaryota; Metazoa; Chordata; Mammalia; Rodentia; Muridae.
UUUCACUGUGUUUCCCAAUGUCAUUGAAGACCAAUCACAUGUUCAUUAGCUCUCAUAAAGAUAUUUGCACAGACAGAGCUGUGAGAGUACAUUUGAAGAUACCGCUCUCGAAAUCAACCAACUUCACGGUCAUUUUGCAUCCAUGUCCACUAGACUUGCCAACCCCCAUACUUCUGCCUUUGUAUUCCUAUGGGGAAUCUUCCCCGAGAAGAGACGUUUCUCCUGCCUACUGCCUUGCUCCUUUAAAGAAACAUAUAUUUUUGUCUAGAAUGACUAGUUAAUCUUGCAUAUUCUGAAAAGUGCUUGGGAUCAGUACCUAGGUGGCAUUCUAUGUGCACACAUACCAUGACGGAAGUAUAAAGGGGCCCGUGUUUCCACUAUUGAUUGGCCUGCAGAGUUCGUGUAUUUUGUGGCAUUUCACCCUUCUGCCUGUGAAAGGUUUUUGUUAACUAAUAUUUUCCAAAGCCUUUGUCCCCUUCCUUCCCCUCUUACCUCUUCCCCUGUCCUUUCCUCUUUUCUUCCCCUCACCCUCCACCUCUCUUUCUCGAUUAAUUUUUUGAGACAUUUAGACAUUUUCUGACAUGCCAAAUUCCUGCAGUAUGAGCCCAUGGCUGGUCAGUCCUCUGGUCCUAAGUUCAAACAGGACUUUCACAGUCUCUUAUCUCCACCAUAUCAUUUUAUUUCCUAAGAACCUCACAUGCACUGACUGGACUACACAAAGCAGAGUCCAAGUAGUCUCGAUACACCUUCCCAGAUGCACACAUCUACAGUCUUGAUUUGAACCUGUUUCUCAUGGCCGUCCUUGUCCAAAGCUUGGCUCACGUAGGGAGGGGUUUGAGCUGUAAAUCUCCCUGGGGCAGUGGACAAACAGGUGAGUGGUUUGCAAUGGUGGUUGAAUCAUCUGCGAGGGGCCAGUGAAGGCUAAAGUAUACUAGUGUCUGUGUGCAUGUGUAUACAUGUGAAGACCCCAGUGCACGCCUGUGUACCUGUGUACAUACUGGUGCUGUACUGACUUCCUGUCACAUAACCUGCUACCGUCUGAAGACUCUAGGACAGAGAGAAGGAUCCUGAAGGAAAGCUGUUGUGCCUUAUGUAUCUCAGUCUGGAACAAGCUGCACUUCCAUUUUGUCUUGUUUGAGAUCGCAUCAUACUUCCCCACAGCUGGUCAGUCACAUAGUGACUAUUAUAGAUUAACUUAAGUUUUCCAUAUUCUAGCCCAUAAGCAAAUCUUUUGGAAGGAAGUAGUAACGUUAAACUUAGAAACUUGAAAUUUUGACUACAACUUUUCAUAUUCCUAGGUAAUGUAUAUCUGACCAAAAAUGAUUUUGCUGAGGUCUUAAGGUCAAUACAAACCACCAUUUCCUAUGUAAAUUUCAGAUGUGCCCAUGACUUUUGGUGGAAAAAAAAGUCUUCCAUAUUCUGUGUUUGUAAUUAUUUUUCUCAUUACACAUGUUGGUAUUCAAUAAUUUGGAGUUUGUGAAAUUAAAAAUUCUAAUUUCAACCAUUUGAGCUAAAAAGUAUAGGAGGAAUUGUGCCUGUGGUUGUUUCAGAACUUAAAGACAUGAUAGUGAGGUGGUUGUCUUUGGCCUCUUCGGGGGAAAUUUCCUGAAGGACUGAAAAUGAGAUAUUUUACUUAUUCUAAUGAAUAUUUACACAUUCAGUUGUGUUUCUGUAAGCCCUGGGAAACCUCUAAAGAUGCAACCAGUUCCUGGGAGGGACCAUCAGGAUUAUUUCCAUAAUUAUAAAUACAUAUUUCCUUUAUUAAUAAAGACCCUGAUUGUGCAUC